Long non-coding RNA from Spinacia oleracea (spinach), 3610 nucleotides. RefSeq lists it as uncharacterized. The record is from RefSeq and is a predicted model, not a curated record. Lineage: Eukaryota; Viridiplantae; Streptophyta; Magnoliopsida; Caryophyllales; Amaranthaceae. The transcript has 12 exons.
CCCAAUAUUUUGGGUCUCUCUGUAUCGCCCAUGCGUUGAUGAUUACUUGUGUCCCUGCAGCAAUGUCAUACCCAUUUAUUUCGGCAUCCUGGGACGGAUACCGAAACAGAAGCAAUGGGAGUGGAGGAUGUAGCCUAAUUCCUUCAUAACUCGGGGAUGCCUCAGCAGCUCUGUCAUUGCCCACUCUAAUAGUGUAAAGGUAGUGUCGGACCCAGCAGCAAACAUAUCCUUCAUCAAAUGCAAAACCGGUUGACUUAUGUAGGAUGGGCACAGGAACGUAAUUUUCUACAAGUUUGUUAAAUUUGGUUAUAUGUGUACCACUAUAUCAUGGACCGCGUUUCAUUUUCACUUACCGAUAUACACAUACCAGAUCAUUGUUCGUAAGGAGGUUGCAAGACUUACAGGGGCCUUAACUUUCUAAUGGUAAAUAUGCGUAUCAAAUCACAUCAUCAAAAGAGAAGAUAAGGGAAGGACACGAAAGCCUAAUAUGAUUGAUUAGCUUUGACAUAUCCAAAAUGUGUAUGAUCUGCAAAAGAUGAUUACAAUCAACAUGCAAAAGUAUAAAACAUCUACACGACUCAAACAAGCUAAGACACAUAACCGAUAUUACUGGAAAUUUGAUGCAUGCAGUUGGGUCUACUAUCUUGUGCACUUGAUGAUUCAAGUCUCAAUUUUUAAGAAUGCAAAGUUGCGAUGACCAGAAGAGGAUCCCUUCUGUUGAUUACUAUGCCCGGGUUUUCAGGCACAUCUGAAGUCUCAUCUUCUGCUUCAUUGGCUGAUUUCCAAUCAAACAAGUGAACAAGAUUUGCUAAUACAAGCUCAGCAUUGACUGAAAAGAAGGUUAUCCCCGGGCAACCUCUUCUUCCUGCUCCAAAGGGGAUCAAUUGGAAAUCCUGCCCCUUAAAGUCUACUGAACAGUUGAGGAACCUCUCUGGACGGAAUUCUUCAGGAUUUUCCCAAUAAACCGGGUCUCUCUGUAUUGCCCAUGCAUUGAUGAUUACGUGUGUCCUUGCAGCAAUGUCAUACCCAUUUAUUUUAACGUUCUGUGAGGUUUGUCGAAAUAGUAGCAAUGGGAGAGGAGGAUGUAGCCUAAGUACCUCUUUGAUCACUGCUUUCAAGUACUUCAUCGUUUCCAAAUCAUCUUCAGAUACUAUUGUUUUUUCUCUAACGACUCCCCUUACUUCAUCUUGCAGUUGCUUCAUAACUUGGGGAUGCCUCAAAAGCUCUGUCAUUGCCCACUCUAGUACUGUAUAAGUAGUGUCGGACCCAGCAACAAACAUAUCCUUCAUCAAAUACAAUGAGACAUUCGUAAAGUUCGAUAAGUUUACACCAAAGUAGUUGAGAUCUAGCAUCUGAAGAGGAUAGGAACAAAAAAGGCUAAUAUGACUGAUUUGCUUUGACAGGGUCCAAGGAGUGUAUGAUCUUCAAAAGGACUUGUUAACACACAAGGUAUUUAAAACUCAGUAACCGAUAAAGUUGAAGUGUUCAGAAGGUCACUUCCUCGACUCAUAAAGAAUAUACAGCUUGUAGCUUGCCUUGACAUCCUAUUUGAUACAAAAAAUAAGUUGAGGUAGCUAGUCUGAGUAAUCUAGUAAACAUGUGGAUUAACAACAGCAAGAAGAGGAGUUUUCCUGUGUAUAGUGAGACCACUACAUUCAGAUUGUUUCGGCCUUGACUAGGUUGGCUAGCCUAGCAUGAGCUCGUUAUUAGCUAUCACAAAUGACAUCCCUGGGAACUUCCUUUUUCCACCCCAAACGAAACAAACACGAAACUUGUCCUUUAAAGUCUAUUGAAGAGCUCAUGCAAAAACUUUCCGGACGGAAACUUGUCAGGUUCUUCUCAAAUAACUUUCAGGGCGCAGGUAUCAUGCACGGGGGGCUUGCUUAAGCCAAUAUAAUGAUUUCUUCAGGAGACAGACAUGAUGAGGAUAUUUUGGAUCCUUAAAUCCAACAUGUUGCAUAUUAAAAAUCUCAUUAAGAUUACCAUGCAAAAAAAGCAUUUUUGACAUCCAACUGAUGAAUGGGCCAAGAGUGUGCAAGUGUAAUGCUCAAUACUACACAAUAUUAGUCGGUUUUACAACCGGACUGAAAGUCUCGUCGCAUUCAACUUCAACCUGUUGAGACCUGCCAUCACCUACAAGACGGGCUUCGUGCCUCUUAAAAGAACCAUCGGAUUUCUUUUUUUAUGACGAAAAAUCCACAUAGAACGAAUAAAAUUCACAUCAAUGGGACGGGUACUAAUUCCCACGUCUUAUUUUAAUUAGAACAUCAUAUUUAUCUACAAUGGCAGCUUUUCAAUUGUGGUCAUUUAAAGCACUCACCGGAUUUUGCGGGAUGGCGAAAUAGAAGUAGUGGUAAAAGUGUUUAAAUUAAAUGGUCUUUUGGACUUGUAUAUCCCAUGUUGGCUUCUUGUAGCCAUGCGGGUGGGCUGCUAGGCAGUGGGAAGAGGUGCAGGGAUUGGGCCUGAUGGUAUUGGUCCAGCACUGGGAGCUGUCGCUGGAUUGGGGUUGGAUAAGAGGACUGGACUGGGUGAGGGGUUGUUGGGCUGGGACGCUUGGAAUUGGCCAUAGGCGUCCGGCUUAUAGCAGGGGAGCUACUGGAUCCGUUGGGUGGGGAAGCUACUGGUUGGGUCGUGGGCUCAACUGUUGCAUUGGGCUUUGCCAGAAAGUGCAAGGUGUAUGGUGAUAACCCAUGGUCCAGAAAGUCAUAAGAAGUUGGGGUUGGAUUGUGUAAUUUGGAGAAGAUCAAUAAUGAACUCCCUAUCUUUUCUAGUAAACAUGUGGAGUGGCAACAGCAAGAAGAGGAGUUUUUCUGUGUAUAGUAAGACCAGUACAUUCAGACAUGUCCAACGUUUCAGCAUUGACUCCAACAGACGAGACUACAAGUGUAGGUUUUCCGCCCAAGUAUAUCAACAUAAGCUCACCAUAUCGCUCAGACCAAGAUUUCAGAGUUCUGUGAGGGAGUUCACCUAGCUUAGGCAGAUGUCCUAGAAUCGGAAGUUUUGGUGGUGAUGGCGGUUUUGUUUCCAAGGAUACAACACUGAAUUAGAUGGAGAAGGAACCUAUGAAGAUAGUUUGGAUAGACUCAAAAUAUACAAACUCUACUAUACUUGUUAAUCAAUUCGCCAGGUAUUGUAGUGCUUUUUAUAGGAUAUUACGUAUACUUGAACUAUUCAUUCAUGCAUGCCGUCUUACUCAACGACCUAGCGCAUCUUAAUCAAAGUUAUCGGCUUUCUUCGUAGUUUUUGCCAUAAAUGAUUUGCUUGAAAGUCAUCUAGUGUUGAUCUCUGUUGUUGACAUUCAAGUUUGGUAUGAUCUGAAUUCUGAAACUAAGUAUGAAUACAGGUACAUGAGUAUGACCGCAAGCCUCUUAUAAACAAUAGAGUGUAAAAAAACUCUGAUGAUGCAAUUGUUGCAUUAAAAAAAGCAGAGAAUGAGGAGGAUAACCGUAAGAAACUUUAAACAAUGUUAUCUCUUUUUUCAUUGCAAGGUUAGUUGUACAAUUUUGACCUUAACAUCCAAACUCCAUCUGUUUGUCUUGUGCAUUAGAGAGAUGUGUACAUGAAUCGAAUCUCGACUACAUUAUUCUAUAAGUGGAACUCGUUAAUUGCU